This is a long non-coding RNA of Cryptotermes secundus, 766 nucleotides long. RefSeq lists it as uncharacterized. Lineage: Eukaryota; Metazoa; Arthropoda; Insecta; Blattodea; Kalotermitidae. The transcript has 2 exons. The record is from RefSeq and is a predicted model, not a curated record.
AUUAUUCUCUUUACCGGCAAUUAUAAAACGCAUAUGCCAGAGACAGCGUUGAUAGUUCGGCAGCAGCCGCAUCCUCUUCCAGGCAGCACUGUACACGCGUAGCUGAAAGCAGCGACUUAUGUCAUCUCAUUGGCGCCUGUUGGGCAGGGAGCAGGCAGUUUGUCGCCAGACUCAAUGGUGAUCCAUGGGUAUGCCUGUUUGAUGUGUUCUUAUGCAUUCAACGUUUCAGUGCAGUUGGGCUGAUUUGUUUACCUCUUGAAGUUGACUUGAUUAUGAACAACUGAUCAUGAAGCGUUUCCUGAUUAGUGAUAGAAAUGAAGACACCAGUGCUCCUUCAACUAGUGGUGGGCAACAAGCUACUCGGAGUGUCAAAACGAGAAGCAGGACUUAGUUGUUCACAUUGAAAUCAGGAACAGAACAACAAAAAUCCAACUUCCACGAGAUAAGAAGUGCACAGCACAUUCAAGAGGACGAGAAGAAACACAUAAAUACCAAACAACUAAUGGCACUACACGUGAACAGCACCAAAGACAUAUAAAAACAUAACAGCGGACCCUGGAAGAUAAACACCGCCUGCAAUACGCGACAAAUAACACAGAAUUUUUACACUGUAACGAGGAGGGAAUUUUUAAAAAUCUAGAAAUUAUUUUACAAUUUCUGUAAUAAUUAUAUGUAUUAUGAUGAUUAUUAUGAAUAACACUGAUAUGAAUCCAAGUAGGAUAUUUCAAUAACAUGAGACUUAUUUAAUUAAAAUGUCUGGGGAUGG